This 477-nucleotide ribosomal RNA is filed under the name uncultured anaerobic ammonium-oxidizing bacterium. RNAcentral describes it as "bacterial SSU rRNA". It matches the Rfam family "Bacterial small subunit ribosomal RNA", at positions 365 to 832 of the family's 1533-position model. The record is from RNAcentral.
UUCGCAAUGCCCGAAAGGGUGACGAAGCGACGCCGCGUGUGGGAAGAAGGCCUUCGGGUUGUAAACCACUGUCGGGAGUUAAGAAAUGCAAGGGUGCUGAUAGUAUCCUUGCUUGACUAAGGCUCCGGAGGAAGCCACGGCUAACUCUGUGCCAGCAGCCGCGGUAAUACAGAGGCGGCAAGCGUUGUUCGGAAUUAUUGGGCGUAAAGAGCACGUAGGCGGCUAUGUAAGUCGGUUGUGAAAGCCUUCCGCUCAACGGAAGAACAGCAUCCGAUACUGCAUGGCUUGAGUGCGGGAGGGGAGAGUGGAACUUCUGGUGGAGCGGUGAAAUGCGUAGAUAUCAGAAGGAACGCCGGCGGCGAAAGCGGCUCUCUGGCCCAUAACUGACGCUGAGUGUGCGAAAGCUAGGGGAGCAAACGGGAUUAGAUACCCCGGUAGUCCUAGCCGUAAACGAUGGGCACUAAGUAGAGGGGUUUU